GUUUGACCCCCCGAAACCAGGCGAGCUACUUUCGAACAGCUUAUGAGCUAACCCUUCUCCGUAGCAAAGGAGUGGGAAGAUUUUAAAGUAGAGGCGACACACCUAUCGAGCCUGGAGAUAGCUGGUUAUUUAAGAAAAGGAUCUGAGUCCAUCUCUAAGUUUUUUUAGCACGCUUAGGCAAAAAAUAAACUUAUUAGACAUUCAAAUAAGGUGCAGCCUAUUUGAACUAGGAAACAGCCUGCAACACAGGGUAAUGCCCACCUUCUGUGAUCAGGUAGGCUCAAAAGCAGCCAACCUUCAAAAAGCGUCCAAGCUUCAUCACUACCCAUAGAUAAUCCCACCCUUAUCCCGCAACCCUCCGCCCCUACUAAAUAACCCCAUACCCAUAUGGGAAAUAUUAUGCUAGAACUAGUAACAAGAAGAAGAGCUUCUCCUAGAUACAAGCUUAAGCCACAAUGAACCCAUCACUGGCAUUUACCGCCACUUGAC
RNAcentral lists this ribosomal RNA (489 nucleotides) under Anodonthyla moramora. RNAcentral's name for it is "partial 16S ribosomal RNA". It matches the Rfam family "Bacterial large subunit ribosomal RNA", at positions 705 to 1395 of the family's 2925-position model. The record is from RNAcentral. Lineage: Eukaryota; Metazoa; Chordata; Amphibia; Anura; Microhylidae.